RNAcentral lists this long non-coding RNA (322 nucleotides) under Nicotiana benthamiana. RNAcentral describes it as "long non-coding RNA (NBEN_LNC031539)". Lineage: Eukaryota; Viridiplantae; Streptophyta; Magnoliopsida; Solanales; Solanaceae. The record is from RNAcentral.
UGCUUCACUAGACAUAGACACUUAACUGCAUGUCAAGCACAACAGCAUGUUACACCUAACUCUCAAGGACCCAAAACAGCUUGGGUACCAAAGACUCGUUAAUUUGUCUUGUAGGUAUGUUUGAAGGGAUCAAGUGUACUUUGGUACCUUGAUAGUGGAUGCUCCAAACACAUGACGGAGACGAAUCCAAGUUCCUUCAACUAGAACAUAAGGAAGAAGGAAGCGUUAUUUUUGGUGAUAACAACAAAGGAAAAAUUAUCGGUAUCGGAUCGGUCGGUAAGGAUGAACAUUCUUCCAUUAAGCAUAUAUUGUUCGUUAAAGG